Molecule: long non-coding RNA, 16433 nt
Filed under: Triticum aestivum (bread wheat)
Lineage: Eukaryota; Viridiplantae; Streptophyta; Magnoliopsida; Poales; Poaceae
Description: long non-coding RNA (TAES_LNC000496)
Source: RNAcentral
GGCACAGGGCGAUGCCGUGGCGCCCAUCCACCGCGCCCCCCUUCCUAUAUCUACCCGACACCCUCCCUCGCCGGAAAACCCUAGCCGCUUUCCCCUUCCCCCUCGCUCGUAUCUCCUCUAAAUAGUACGUGCUCGAGACGUCGACGGCGCGCCCUCGUCGAUCCCGUGGUCACCUUGCUCCCCGCCGGUUAGCUCAAUGUCCGGGAGCUUUGUCUGCCUCCUCUACGUCGACCACGCACAUAAGAUCAAGGCCGGAGACCCUACCUCGACUGGAUCGAGCUCGUCCUCGCCUUCGGUCACCAACGCCACUCCGACGAACUACACCACCCCCUGCGCUUCUAGUCACUCACCGGGCCUUCGUGCGCCUCCUUGGUGAGCUCCUCCCUCGGAUCCCCCCUUUUAGCCCUUCGAUUUGAACGCCGUAGGCCGUCAUCUCCGUCGUGCCCGAACCCCGCGUACGCGUACGUGCGUGCGAUUGUUGCUGCUUGUUCUACUACCGCUAGCUGCCUCGCUGGUCGCGUGUGCCUGCUGCUCGUGCGUACUGCUGCUGCCUUGCGCCCGCCUUCUGGCCGCUCCCGCACCACCUGCUGCUGGUUCUACAGCGGCCGUCGCCUGCAGCUUGUCGCUGCCGCCCGUGUGCUAGCCCCGCGUCUCCCACGCUCGCCAUUGCCGGCGGACACGCCCGCUGGCGCCCGGACCGCGCGCCCACCCCUCACCGCGGCCCCGGCAGGCUGCGACCCGCUCGGCCCCUCCGCUCGCUGGCCGUCGUUCGCCGCCCCAGCGCCCUUGGCCGAGAGCCCCUCUGCACCCGCGCACACGCGCGCUGAUCCACACGGUGGUCGCGCCCGGCCAUGCCCCACCGUGCUGGCCGACCGCGCGCCUGCGUCGGCCGCCCCGGCCCCGUUCUGCGCGCUCACAGUCACAGCGCCGCGCCCCACGAAGCUCGUUUGCAUGUGCUGCUACUCCGCUGAAUCUACUACUACUUGUGGCUACUGUAGCUAUAUGGCUAGCUAUAGAAAUUUUACACUGACUAACCCCCUAAACAGCCCCUAAUCAGCGGUUAAACAGUUUUUAAUAUGUGUAAAAAUAAUAUGAGUAGGUAGUACACUUGGCGAGGCUCAAAUGUUUCCAUUGGAACAAAUUCAUUUGAUGCAUGAAUUAAAUCAUAUAAAAAUCACAAAUUGCUAUCUUCUGUUAAGAGAGAACAUAAUUAACCCCAUAGCAUAGUGUGUUGCGUCCUGUGUGUGGUGUGUGUGUGUGGCUGGCUUGGCCACGGCCGUGUGUGGCCGGCCCUGUGUAGUGGCACACUACCAUGUGACCCCACCCCCUCUAUUUAUCCAUUUAUCAAAACUAUUAAACUUGUGUCUAUGACACCUAGGCCCCACUGCCUAGUGUUGAUUAGUCAACCCAGUCAAUGUUGACUGUUGACCUUGCUGACUCAUUGCCCCCGGGCCACUGUCAUACACCCUGGCUAGCACAGCCCCAUGUGACAAAAGUAUUUAGUCACUUAAUUUUCGAAUUAAGAUAAUUAGAUAAUCAUUUAAACUUUAAAAAAUCAUAGAAAAUAAUCUGUAACUCGGAUGAAAAAGUUUUGUACAUGAAAGUUGCUCAGAACGACGAGACGAAUCCGAAUACGCAGUCCGUUCGUCCGCCACGCGUCCCUGGCAUAGCAAACGUUGAACUUUUUCCCUCCGGUUCAUCUGUCUGACAAACGUCCGGAACCGGGAAAACUUUCCCGGGUGUUUCCCCCUUCGCUAGUAUUGCCUAGCGUUGCGCUAGAACACUUAUAGCCCUGUGUAUUGUCUUGUUAUGCUUAUGUUUGCGUGUAUUUACUGUUUCUUCCCCCCUCUUCUUCUCCAGUAGACCUCGAGACCGCUGCUGAUGCCCCUGUGAUCGACUAUGUCGACGACGACCCUCCUUCUUGUCUGAGCAACCAGGCAAGUGUUGGGGAACGUAGCAGAAAUUCAAAAUUUUCCUACGCGUCACCAAGAUCUAUCUAUGGAGAAACCAGCAACGAGUAGAAAGGAGAGUGCAUCUACAUACCCUUGUAGAUCGCUAAGCGGAAGCGUUCAAGUGAACGGGGUUGAUGGAGUCGUACUCGUCGUGAUUCAGAUCACCGAUGUUCCUAGUGCCGAACGGACGGCACCUCCGCGUUCAACACACGUACAGCCCGACGAUGUCUCCCACGCCUUGAUCCAGCAAGGGGAGAGGGAGAGGUUGAGGAAGACUCCAUCCAGCAGCAGCACAACGGCGUGGUGGUGAUGGAGGAGCGUGGCAAUCCUGCAGGGCUUCGCCAAGCACCUACGGGAGAGGAGGAGGUGUCACGGGAGGGAGGGAGGCGCCAAUGGCUCAGGUAUAGAUGCCCUCCCUCCCCUCCACUAUAUAUAGGGGCAGGGGAGAGGGGGGAGGCGCAGCCUUGCCCCUUCCUCCAAGGAAGGGGUGCGGCUAAGAGGGGGGGAGGAGUCCAUCCUCCCCAAGGCACCUCGGAGGUGCCUUCCCCCUUUAGGACUCUCCCCUUUUUCCUAUAUCUUGGCGCAUGGGCCUCUAGGGGCUGGUGCCCUUGGCCCAUGUAGGCCAAGGCGCACCCCCUACAGCGCAUGUGGCCCCCGGGGCAGGUGGCCCCACCCGGUGGGCCUCCGGGACCCUUCCGAUGGUCCCGGUACAAUACCGAUGACCCCUAAACUUGUCCCGAUGGCCAAAACAGGACUUCCUAUAUAUAAAUAUUUACCUCCGGACCAUUCCGGAACUCCUCGUGACAUUCGGGAUCUCAUCCGGGACUCCGAAAAACAUUCGGUAACCACAUACAAACUUCCUUUAUAACCCUAGCGUCAUCGAACCUUAAGUGUGUAGACCCUACGGGUUCGGGAGACAUGUAGUCAUGACCGAGAUGCUCUCCGGUCAAUAACCAACAGCGGGAUCUGGAUACCCAUGUUGGCUCCCACAUGUUCCACGAUGAUCUCAUCGGAUGAACCACGAUGUCAAGGACUCAAUCAAUCCCUUAUACAAUUCCCUUUGUCUAGCGGUAUGGUACUUGCCCGAGAUUCGAUCGUCAGUAUACCGAUACCUUGUUCAAUCUCGUUACCGGCAAGUCUCUUUACUCGUUCCGUAACACAUCAUCCCGUGAUCAACCCCUUGGUCACAUUGUGCACAUUAUGAUGAUGUCCUACCGAGUGGGCCCAGAGAUACCUCUCCGUUUACACGGAGUGACAAAAUCCCAAUCUCAAUUCGUGUCAACCCAACAGACACUUUCAGAGAUACCCGUAGUGUACCUUUAUAGCCACCCAGUUACGUUGUGACGUUUGGCACACCCAAAGCACUCCUACGGUAUCCGGGAGUUGCACAAUCUCAUGGUCUAAGGAAAUGAUACUUGACAUUAGAAAAGCUUUAGCAUACGAACUACAUGAUCUUGUGCUAGGCUUAGGAUUGGGUCUUGUCCAUCACAUCAUUCUCCUAAUGAUGUGAUCCCGUUAUCAACGACAUCCAAUGUCCAUGGUCAGGAAACCAUAACCAUCUAUUGAUUAACGAGCUAGUCAACUAGAGGCUUACUAGGGACAUGGUGUUGUCUAUGUAUCCACACAUGUAUCUGAGUUUCCUAUCAAUACAAUUCUAGCAUGGAUAAUAAACGAUUAUCAUGAACAAGGAAAUAUAAUAAUAAUCAAUUUAUUAUUGCCUCUAGGGCAUAUUUCCAACAGUCUCCCACUUGCACUAGAGUCAAUAAUCAGCUGCUGAUAUGUGAUUAACACUCAAGGUCACAUCCCCAUGUGACUAACACCCAAGAGUUUUGGGUUUGAUCAUGUUAUGCUUGUGAGAGAGGUUAUAGUCAAUGGGUCUGAAUCUUUCAGAUCCGUGUGUGCUUUACAAAUCUCUAUGUCAUCUCCUAGAUGCAGCUACCACGCUCUAUUUGGAGCUAUUCCAAAUAACUGUUCUACUUGGAGCUAUUCUAAAUUGUUGCUCCGUUAUACGUAUCAUGUAUCUCUACUCAGAGCUAUCCGGAUAGGUGUUAAGCUUGCAUCGACGUAACCCUUUACGACGAACUCUUUUACCACCUCCAUAAUUGAGAAAAUUCCUUAGUCCACUAGUUACUAAGGAUAACUUUGACCGCUGUCCUGUGAUCCAUUCUUGGAUCACUUUUGUACCCCUUGACUGACUCAUGGCAAAGCACAUUUCAGGUGCGGUACACAGCAUAGCAUAUUGUAGAGCCUAUGUCUUAAGCAUAGGGGACGACCUUCGUUCCUUUCUCUCUAUUCAGCCGUGGUCGAGCUUUAAGUCUUAACUUCAUACCUUACAACUUAGGCAAGAACUCCUUCUUUGACUGAUCCAUCUUGAACACCUUCAAGAUCAUGUCAAGGUAUGUGCUCGUUUGAAAGUACUAUUAAGCGUUUUGAUCUAUCCUUAUAGAUCUUGAUGCUCAAUGUUCAAGUAGUUUAAUCCAGGUUUUCCAUUGAAAACACUUUCCAAAUAACCCUAUAUGCUUUCCAGAAAUUCUACGUCAUUUCUGAUCAUCAAUAUGUCAAUAACAUAUACUCCUCAGAAAUUCUAUAGUGCUCCCACUCACUUCUUUGGAAAUACAAGUUUCUCAUGAACUUUGUACAAACCCAAAAUCUUUGAUCAUCAUCAAAGCAUACAUUCCAACUCCGAGAUGCUCACUCCAGUCCUCAGAAGGAUUGCUGGAGCUUUGCAUACUUAUUAGCAUAUUUCAGGAUAGACAAAACCUUCCGGUUGUAUCACAUACAACCUUUCCUCAAGAAUCGUCGAGGAAACAAUGUUUUGACAUCCUAUCUGCAAGAUUUCAUAAAUAAUGCAGUAAUUGCUAAUAUAAUUCCAACAGACUCUUAGCAUCACUACGAGUGAGAAAGUCUCAUCGUAGUCAACACCUUGAACUUGUCGAAAAACAUCUUAACGACAAGUCGAGCUUUCUCAAUGGUGACACUUACCAUCAUUGUCUGUCUUCCUUUCAAAAUCCAUAUGUACCCAACAGCCUUACGACCAUCAAGUAGUUCUUCCAAAGUCUACACUUUGUUUUCAUACAUGGAUCCUCUCUCGGGUUUUAUGGCCUUGAGCCAUUUAUCGGAAUCCGGGCCCACCAUUGCUUCUCCAUAGCUCGUAGGUUCAUUGUUGUCUAGCAACAUGACUUCCAAGACAGGAUUACCGUACCACUCUGAAGUAGUACGCAUCCUUGUCACCCUACGAGGUACGGUAGUGACUUGAUCCGAAGUUUCAUGAUCACUAUCAUAAGCUUCUACUUCAAUUGGUGUAGGUGCCACAGGAACAACUCCCUGUGCCCUGUCACACACUAGUUGAAGAGACGGUUCAAUAACCUCAUCAAGUCUCCACCAUCCUCCCACUCAAUUCUUUCGAGAGAAACUUUUCCUCGAGAAAGGACCCGAUUAAAGAAAAAACAAUCCAUAUUGCUUUCGGAUCUGAAUUAGGAGGUAUACCCAACUGUUUUGGGUGUCCUGUGAAGAUGCAUUUUAUCCGCUUUGGGUUCGAGCUUAAUCCUGAAACUUUUCACAUAAGCGUCGCAGCCCCAAACUUUCAAGAAACGACAAUUUAGGUUUCUCCAAACCAUAGUUCAUACGGUGUCGUCUCAACAAAAUUAUGUGGUGCCCUAUUUAAAGUGAAUGUGGUUGUCUCUAAUGCCUAACCCAUGAACGAUAGUGGUAACUCGAUAAGAGACAUCAUGGUAUGCACCAUAUCCAAUAGGGUGCAACUAUGACGUUUGGACACACCAUCACACUAUGGUGUUCCAGGCUUUAUCAGUUGUGAAACAAUUUUCACAAUGUCUUAAUUCUGUGUCAAACUCGUGAUUCAGAUAUUCAUCUCUAUGAUCAUAUCAUAGAUCUUUUAUCCUCUUGUCACGACGAUCUUUCAACUUCACACUGAAAUUACUUGAACCUUUCAAUAAUUCAGACUCGUGAUUCAUCAAGUAAAUAUACUCAACAUCUACUCGAAUCAUCUGUGAAGUAAGAACAUAACGAUAUUCACUGCAUGCCUCAGCACUCAUUGGACUGCACAUAUCAAAAUGUGUUACUUCCAACAAGUUGCUAUCUUGUUCCAUCUUACUGAAACCGAGGCUUUUCAGUCAUCUUGCCUAUGUGGUAUGAUUUGCAUAUCUCAAGUGAUUCAUAAUCAAGUGAGUCCAAAUGAUCCAUCUGCAUGGAGUUUCUUCAUGCGUAUACACCAAUAGACAUGGUUCGCAUGUCUCAAACUUUUCUAAAACGAGUGAGUCCAAAGAUCCAUCAACAUGGAGCUUCUUCAUGCGUUUUAUACCAUUAUGACUUACGUGGCAAUGCCACAAGUAGGUGGUACUAUCAUUACUAUCUUUUGGCAUGAACAUGUGUAUCACUACGAUCGAGAUUUAAUAAACCAUUCAUUUUAGGUGUAAGACCAUUGAAGGUAUUAUUCAAAUAAACAGAGUAACCAUUAUUCUCCUUAAAUGAAUAACCAUAUUGCGAUAGACGUAAUCCAAUCAUGUCUAUGCUCAACGCAAACACCAAAUAACAAUUAUUUAGGUUUAACACCAAUCUCUUUGGUAGAGAGAGCGUGCGAUGCUUGAUCAUAUCAAGCUUGGAAAAACUUCCAACACAUAUCGUCAGCUCACCUUUAGCUAGUCUCCGUUUAUUCCGUAGCCUUUUGUUUCGAGUUACUAACACUUAGCAACCGAACCGGUAUCUAAUACCCUGGUGCUACUAGGAGUACUAGCAAAGUACACAUUAACACAAUGUAUAUCCAAUAUACUUCUAUCGACCUUGCCAGCCUUCUUAUCUACCAAGUAUCUAGGGUAAUUCUGCUCCAGUGGUUGUUCCCCUUAUUACAGAAGCACUUAGUCUCAGGUUUGGGUUUCACCUUGGGUUUCUUCACUAGAGCAGCAGCUGAUUUGUCGUUUCAUGAAGUAUCCCUUCUUGCCCUUGCCCUUCUUGAAACUAGUGGUUUCAGCAACCAUCAACAAUUGAUGCUCCUUCUUGAUUUCUACUUUCGCGGUGUCAAUCAUCGUGAAUACCUCAGGGAUCAUCAUAUCUAUCCCUGAUAUGUUAUAGUUCAUCACGAAGCUCUAACAGCUUGGUGGCAAUGACUUUGGAGAACCAUCACUGUCUUAUCUGGAAGAUCAACUCCCACUCGAUUCAAAUGAUUGUUGUACUCAGACAAUCUGAGCACAAACUCAACAAUUGAGCUUUUCUCCUUAGUUUGCAGGUUAAGAAAGUCAUCGGAGGUCUUAUAGCUCUUGACAUGGGCACGAGCCUGAAAUGCCAAUUUCAGCCCUCAAAACAUCUCAUAUGUUUCGCGAUGUUUCAAAAACGUCUUUGGUGCCUCAACUCUAAACCGUUUAACUGAACUAUCACGUAGUUAUCAAAACGUGUAUGUCAGAUGUUCGCAACAACCACAGACAACGUUCGAGGUUCAGCACACUGAGCGGUGCAUUAAGGACAUAAGCCUUCUAUGAAGCAAUGAGGACAAUCCUCAGUUUAAGGACCUAGUCCGCAUAAUUGCUACUAUCAACUUUCAACUAAUUUUUCUCUAGGAACAUAUCUAAACAGUAGAACUAUAGCAUGAGCUACGACAUAAUUUGCAAAAACCUUUUGACUAUGUUCAGGAUAAUUAAGUUCAUCUUAUGAACUCCCACUCAGAUAGACAUCCCUCUAGUCAUCUAAGUGAUUACAUGAUCCGAGUCAAACUAGGCCGUGUCCGAUCAUCACGUGAGACGGACUAGUCAUCAUCGGUGAACAUCUUCAUGUUGAUCGUAUCUUCUAUACGACUCAUGUUCGACCUUUCGGUCUCCGUGUUCCGAGGCCAUGUCUAUACAUGCUAGGCUCGUCAAGUUAACCCUAAGUGUUUCGCGUGUGUAAAUCUGUCUUACACCCGUUGUAUGUGAACGUUAGAAUCUAACACCCGAUCAUCACGUGGUGCUUCGAAACACGAACUGUCGCAACGGUGCACAGUUAGGGGAGAACACUUCUUGAAAUUGUUGUAAGGGAUCAUCUUAUUUACUACCUUCGUUCUAAGCAAAUAAGAUGUAUAAACAUGAUAAACAUCACAUGCAAUCAAAUAGUGACAUGAUAUGGCCAUCAUCACUUUGCUCCUUUUGAUCUCCAUCUUCGGGGCUCCAUGAUCAUCAUCGUCACCGGCAUGACACCAUGAUCUCCAUCAUCGUGUCUUCAUGAAGUUGCCUCGCCAACUAUUACUUCUACUACUAUGGCUAACGGUUAGCAAUAAAGUAAAGUAAUUACAUGACGUUUAAGUUGACACGCAGGUCACAAAUAAAUAAAGACAACUCCUAUGGCUCCUGCCGGUUGUCAUACUCAUCGACAUGCAAGUCGUGAUUCCUAUUACAAGAACAUGAUCAAUCUCAUACAUCACAUAUAUCAUUCAUCACAUCCUUUUUGGCCAUAUCACAUCACAUAGCAUACCCUGCAAAAACAAGUUAGACGUCCUCUAAUUGUUGUUUGCAUGUUUUACGUGGCUGCUCUGGGUUUCUAGCAAGAACGUUUCUUACCUACGCAUGAACCACAACGUGAUAUGCCAAUUGCUAUUUACCCUUCAUAAGGACCCUUUUCAUCGAAUCCGAUCCGACUAAAGUGGGAGAGACAGACACCCGCCAGCCACCUUAUGCAACUAGUGCAUGUUUGUCGGUGGAACCGGUCUCACAUAAGCGUACGUGUAAGGUUGGUCCGGGCCGCUUCAUCCCACGAUGCCGCCGAAUCAAGAUAAGACUAGUAACGGCAAGCAUAUUGAACAAUAUCGACGCCCACAACUACUUUGUGUUCUACUCGUGCAAAGAAUCUACGCAAUAGACCUAGCUCAUGAUGCCACUGUUGGGGAACGUAGCAGAAAUUCAAAAUUUUCCUACGCGUCACCAAGAUCUAUCUAUGGAGAAACUAGCAACGAGUAGAAAGGAGAGUGCAUCUACAUACCCUUGUAGAUCGCUAAGCGGAAGCGUUCAAGUGAACGGGGUUGAUGGAGUCGUACUCGUCGUGAUUCAGAUCACCGAUGAUCCUAGUGCCGAACGGACGGCACCUCCGCGUUCAACACACGUACAGCCCGACGAUGUCUCCCACGCCUUGAUCCAGCAAGGGUGGAGGGAGAGGUUGAGGAAGACUCCAUCCAGCUGCAGCACAACGGCGUGGUGGUGAUGGAGGAGCGUGGCAAUCCUGAAGGGCUUCGCCAAGCACCUACAGGAGAGGAGGAGGUGUCACGGGAGGGAGGGAGGCGCCAAGGGCUCAGGUAUAGAUGCCCUCCCUCCCCUCCACUAUAUAUAGGGGCAGGGGAGAGGGGGGAGGCGCAGCCUUGCCCCUUCCUCCAAGGAAGGGGUGCGGCUAAGAGGGGGGGAGGAGUCCAUCCUCCCCAAGGCACCUCGGAGGUGCCUUCCCCCUUUAGGACUCUCCCCUUUUUCCUAUAUCUUGCCGCAUGGGCCUCUAGGGGCUGGUGCCCUUGGCCCAUGUAGGCCAAGGCGCACCCCCUACAGCCCAUGUGGCCCCCGGGGCAGGUGGCCCCACCCGGUGGGCCCCCGGGACCCUUCCGGUGGUCCCGGUACAAUACCGAUGACCCCGAAACUUGUCCCGAUGGCCGAAACAGGACUUCCUAUAUAUAAAUCUUUACCUCCGGACCAUUCCGAAACUCCUCGUGACGUCCGGGAUCUCAUCCAGGACUCCGAACAACAUUCGUUAACCACAUACAAACUUCCUUUAUAACCCUAGCGUCAUCGAACCUUAAGUGUGUAGACCCUACGGGUUCGGGAGACAUGUAGUCAUGACCGAGAUGCUCUCCGGUCAAUAACCAACAGCGGGAUAUGGAUACCCAUGUUGGCUCCCACAUGUUCCACGAUGAUCUCAUCGGAUGAACCACGAUGUCAAGGACUCAAUCAAUCCCGUAUACAAUUCCCUUUGUCUAGCGGUAUGGUACUUGCCCGAGAUUCGAUCGUCGGUAUACCGAUACCUUGUUCAAUCUCGUUACCGGCAAGUCUCUUUACUCGUUCCGUAACACAUCAUCCCGUGAUCAACCCCUUGGUCACAUUGUGCACAUUAUGAUGAUGUCCUACCGAGUGGGCCCAGAGAUACCUCUCCGUUUACACGGAGUGACAAAAUCCCAAUCUCGAUUCGUGCCAACCCAACAGACACUUUCAGAGAUACCCGUAGUGUACCUUUAUAGCCACCCAGUUACGUUGUGACGUUUGGCACACCCAAAGCACUCCUACGGUAUCCGGGAGUUGCACAAUCUCAUGGUCUAAGGAAAUGAUACUUGACAUUAGAAAAGCUUUAGCAUACGAACUACAUGAUCUUGUGCUAGGCUUAGGAUUGGGUCUUGUCCAUCACAUCAUUCUCCUAAUGAUGUGAUCCUGUUAUCAAUGACAUCCAAUGUCCAUGGUCAGGAAACCGUAACCAUCUAUUGAUUAACGAGCUAGUUAACUAGAGGCUUACUAGGGACAUGGUGUUGUCUAUGUAUCCACACAUGUAUCUGAGUUUCCUAUCAAUACAAUUCUAGCAUGGAUAAUAAAUGAUUAUCAUGAACAAGGAAAUAUAAUAAUAAUCAAUUUAUUAUUGCCUCUAGGGCAUAUUUCCAACAAAACAAAAGGUAUAUGUGAUAUACAUGUAAUUGAUGUGUACCUUACUAGUGCCCGUAGUGGCUCCUGGGUGAAACGAGUAGGAAAAUUUUUGUGAAACGAGUAGGAAAAUUUUUGUUGCUAGAUGAACUCCUAGAUGAUCUUGGUGAAACGAGUAGGAAAAUUUUUGUUUUCUGCAACGUUCCCCAACAGUGGUAUCAGAGCUAGGUCUAUGCGUAGUUCUUCUUGCGCGAGUAGAACACAAUUUGUUGUGGGUGUAGAUUUGUCAACUUUCUUGCCGUUACUAGUCCUUUCUUGCUUCAGCGGUAUUGUGGGAUGAAGCGGCCCGGACCAACCUUACACGUACGCUUACGUGAGACUGGUUCCACCGACUAACAUGCACUAGUUGCAUAAGGUGGCUGGCGGGUGUCUGUCUCUCCUACUUUAGUUGGAGCGGAAUCGAUGAACAGGGUCCUUAUGAAGGGUAAAUAGAAGUUGACAAAUCACGUUGUGGCUUUAACGUAGGUAAGAAAACGUUCUUGCUAGAACCCUAAUUCAGCCACGUAAAACUUGCAACAACAAUUAGAGGACGUCUAACUUGUUUUUGCAGCAAGUGGUUUGUGAUAUGAUAUGGCCAAAGUUGUGAUGAAUGAUGAAUGAUCUAUAUGUGAUGUAUGAGAUGUUCAUGCUAUUGUAAUAGGAUUCACGACUUGCAUGUCGAUGAGUAUGACAACCGGCAGGAGCCAUAGGAGUUGUCUUUAUUCUUUUAUAUGACCUGCGUGUCAUCAAGAAACGCCAUGUAAAUUACUUUACUUUAUUGCUAAACGCGUUAGCCAUAGUAGUAGAAGUAAUAGUUGGUGAGCAACUUCAUGGAGACACGAUGAUGGAGAUCAUGGUGUCAAGCCGGUGACAAGAUGAUCAUGGAGCCCCAAGAUGGAGAUCAAAGGAGCUAUGUGAUAUUGGCCAUAUCAUGUCACGUUUAUUAUUUGAUUGCAUGUGAUGUUUAUCAUGUUUUGCAUCUUGUUUACUUAGAACGACGGUAGUAAAUAAGAUGAUCCCUCACAAUAAUUUCAAGAAGUGUUCCCCCUAACUGUGCACCGUUGCGACAGUUCGCUGUUUCAAAACACCACGUGAUGAUCGGGUGUUUUAUUCAGACGUUCACAUACAACGGGUGUAAGACAGAUUUACACAUGCAAACACUUAGGUUGACUUGACGAGCCUAGCAUGUACAGACAUGGCCUCGAAACACAGAAGACCGAAAGGUCGAGCAUGAGUCGUAUAGAAGAUACGAUCAACAUGAAGAUGUUCACCGAUGUUGACUAGUCCGUCUCACGUGAUGAUCGGACACGGUCUAGUUUAACUCGGAUCAUGUAAUACUUAGAUGACUAGAGGGAUGUCUAAUCUAAGUGGGAGUUCACUAAUAAUUUGAUUAGUUGAACUUAAUUAUCAUGAACUUAGUCUAAAAUCUUUGCAAUAUGUCUUGUAGAUCAAAUGGCCAACGUAGUCCUCAACUUCAACGCGUUCCUAGAGAAAACUAAGCUGAAAGACGAUGGCAGCAACUAUACGGACUGGGUCCGAAACCUGAGGAUCAUCCCCAUAGCUGCCAAGAAAGAUUAUGUCCUACAAGCACCGCUUGGUGAUGCACCCGUUCUCCCUGUAGAACAAGACGUUAUGAACGCUUGGCAGGCACGUUUCGAUGACUACUCCCUCGUUCAGUGCGGCAUGCUUUACAGCCUAGAGCCGGGGCUCCAAAAAUGUUUUGAGAGACAUGGAGCAUAUGAGAUGUUCGAAGAGCUGAAAAUGGUUUUCCAAGCUCAUGCCCGGGUCGAGAGAUAUGAAGUCUCCGACAAAUUCUUUAGCUGUAAGAUGGAGGAAAACAGUUCUGUCAGUGAGCACAUACUCACUAUGUCUGGGUUGCAUAACCGCUUGACUCAGCUGGGAGUUAAUCUCCCGGUUGAUGCGGUCAUUGACAGAAUCCUCCAGUCGCUUCCACCAAGCUACAAGAGCUUUGUGAUGAACUUCAAUAUGCAGGGGAUGGAAAAGACCAUUCCUGAAGUAUUUGCUAUGCUGAAAUCAGCAGAGGUAGAAGUCAGGAAGGAACAUCAAGUGUUGAUGGUCAAUAAAACCACUAAGUUCAAGAAAGGCAAGGGUAAAAAGAACUUCAAGAAGGACGGCAAGGAGGUUGCCGCGCCCGGCAAGCAAGCUGCCGGGAAGAAGCCAAAGAAUGGACCCAAGCCCGAGACUGAGUGCUUUUAUUGCAAGGGAAGCGGUCACUGGAAGCGGAACUGCCCUAAGUACUUAGCGGAUAAGAAGGCCGGCAAAACAUGUUGGGGAACGUAGCAGAAAUUCAAAAAAAUUCCUACGUAUCACCAAGAUCUAUCUAUGGAGAGACCAGCAACGAGUAGAAAGGAGAGUGCAUCUACAUACCCUUGUAGAUCGCUAAGCGGAAGCGUUCAAGUGAACGGGGUUGAUGGAGUCGUACUCGUCGUGAUUCAGAUCACCGAUGAUCCUAGUGCCGAACGGACGGCACCUCCGCGUUCAACACACGUACAGCUCGACGAUGUCUCCCACACCUUGAUCCAGCAAGGAGAGAGGGAGAGGUUGAGGAAGACUCCAUCCAGCAGCAGCACAACGGCGUGGUGGUGAUGGAGGAGCGUGGCAAUCCUGCAGGGCUUCGCCAAGCACCUACGGGAGAGGAGGAGGUGUCACGGGAGGGAGGGAGGCGCCAAGGGCUCAGGUGUGGAUGCCCUCCCUCCCCUCCACUAUAUAUAGGGGCAGGGGAGAGGGGGGAGGCGCAGCCUUGCCCCUUCCUCCAAGGAAGGGGUGCGGCUAAGAGGGGGGGAGGAGUCCAUCCUCCCCAAGGCAUCUCGGAGGUGCCUUCCCCCUUUAGGACUCUCCCCUUUUUCCUAUAUCUUGGCGCAUGGGCCUCUAGGGGCUGGUGCCCUUGGCCCAUGUAGGCCAAGGCGCACCCCCUACAGCCCAUGUGGCCCCCCGGGGCAGGUGGCCCCAUCCGGUGGGCCCCCGGGACCCUUCCGGUGGUCCCGGUACAAUACCGAUGACCCCGAAACUUGUCCCGAUGGCCGAAACAGGACUUCCCAUAUAUAAAUCUUUACCUCCGGACCAUUCCGGAACUCCUCGUGAUGUCCGGGAUCUCAUCCGGGACUCCGAACAACAUUCGGUAACCACAUACAAACUUCCUUUAUAACCCUAGCGUCAUCGAACCUUAAGUGUGUAGACCCUACGGGUUCGGGAGACAUGUAGUCAUGACCGAGAUGUUCUCCGGUCAAUAACCAACAGCGGGAUCUGGAUACCCAUGUUGGCUCCCACAUGUUCCACGAUGAUCUCAUCGGAUGAACCACGAUGUCAAGGACUCAAUCAAUCCCGUAUACAAUUCCCUUUGUCUAGCAGUAUGGUACUUGCCCGAGAUUCGAUCGUCGGUAUACCGAUACCUUGUUCAAUCUCGUUACCGGCAAGUCUCUUUACUCGUUCCGUAACACAUCAUCCCGUGAUCAACCCCUUGGUCACAUUGUGCACAUUAUGAUGAUGUCCUACCGAGUGGGCCCAGAGAUACCUCUCCGUUUACACGGAGUGACAAAAUCCCAAUCUCGAUUCGUGCCAACCCAACAGCCACUUUCAGAGAUACCCGUAGUGUACCUUUAUAGCCACCCAGUUACGUUGUGACGUUUGGCACACCCAAAGCACUCCUACGGUAUCCGGGAGUUGCACAAUCUCAUGGUCUAAGGAAAUGAUACUUGACAUUAGAAAAGCUUUAGCAUACGAACUACAUGAUCUUGUGCUAGGCUUAGGAUUGGGUCUUGUCCAUCACAUCAUUCUCCUAAUGAUGUGAUCCCGUUAUCAACGACAUCCAAUGUCCAUGGUCAGGAAACCGUAACCAUCUAUUGAUUAACGAGCUAGUCAACUAGAGGCUUACUAGGGACAUGGUGUUGUCUAUGUAUCCACACAUGUAUCUGAGUUUCCUAUCAAUACAAUUCUAGCAUGGAUAAUAAACGAUUAUCAUGAACAAGGAAAUAUAAUAAUAAUCAAUUUAUUAUUGCCUCUAGGGCAUAUUUCCAACAGCAAGCCCCCCCUUUGGUCAUCCCAAUAUCGCCCAUUCUAUACUCUCAUGCUUGCAUUAGAUUUUGCUACUGUUAUUGUUUGCUCUUAUUCUGAUGCAUAGCCUGCUCUUUUACCUGCUAUUGUUACCUACCUGCUUAUCCUAAACUGCUUAGUAUGGGUUGGCUAGUGAUCAAUCAUUGACCCCCACCUUGUCCUCGUCGCCCCUGCUUCAUCAUCGACAACUCGAUCAACGUGAUCGACGACCAGAGCCCGACACCUCACAUCACAUCACGCCCCUUUUGUUGCUCGACUCUGCAGAGCUACUAUCGAGUGCCGACGGUGAUCCCUCAUAACGCACUCCUGAUGAUAAUUCUAUAGUGUAGCUAUUCGGUCGUGGUCAUCGAGGGUGAUUUCCUCUUUCACCAUUCCCGAUACGGCUCUGUCGUUCAACACCUCAAGUGUGAACCUCGAGGGUGGUCCCUCUUACGUUCACCUUGAUGAUUACAUUGAGUGGAAUCCACCGGGGGUGAUUCCUCGGGUUUUCCCCUUGAUGUUUGGACACACGGUUACAUUGGCUUUACUUGAGACCUUGGUGAAAGUCGAGAGGGCCCGGAGAGCACACGCAAGAUAAUGACAUGGCACGACCGGGCAUUCUGAGCCCUUGUCGUAAGUCCACGAGACGGGGCAACAGGGUCACUUUUGAUCGUGAGUCUCUGCUCGUCUCCGCAAGCUAAUAAUACACUAUGGUUUGGGUAUUUGUUCUGAGUUGGCCUUUGGCCUUUACGCACCAACCACCACGUGAGAAUAGUUAUGGGCCUCGACGUCGUGGUAUCAGUCGAAGUUUUGUCAGACGUCCAGUUCAGCAUCGUGGGCCUGUCACGCCAGUGCCAUCCAGUAUGAGGUGGUGCUCGUCCCGGCUCGUCGCACAACGACCCGGAGUGCAACGGGCGAUGGGCCCAGACCCCGGAGUGCUUAGGAUGUAAACCGGCGGGGACCUCUCUGCUGAGCCUAGGUAGGGCUGCGACGUGUUGAUCUUCCGAGGCCGGGCAUUGACCCAGAAAAGUGUGUCUGGCCAGAGUGAUCGAGCGUGUUGGAAAACGUGGUGCACCCCUGCAGGGAAGAUUAUCUAUUAAUAGUCGUGUCCAUGGUAACGGACGUUCAGACUUAUAUCCUGAUCUUAUACAACUACGAAUGGAUACUUGAAUAUGUGGCUCCGAGAUUGCUUUCUCGCAGGGAGUCGAGGAAAGAUCUAUGAGCAUUAAUGUUACAACAUGUUUGUUAAUUAUAAACUGCUAUUCUUUACUCUUCUACAUGCUGCAAGAUGCGAGGAGCUGCGUGAAGAUGCUAGUCUUCGAUAGUCUAGGCCUUCCCCCUCUAUUCUGGCAUUCUGCAGCUCAGUCCAAAAAUACAAACCUUCCAUUUGAUACCAAUGCAUACUUAGUAUAGAUCUGAUGCUUGCGAGUACAUUGGAUGAGUACUCACGGUUGCUUUGCUACCCCUUUUCCCCCUUCUUUCUUCUUUCCGGUUGAUGCAACCAGGUGGUGGAUCCUUGGAGCCAGAUGCCACCGCCGACGGAUACUGCUACUUGGAGACCGCCGCCGACGAGGAGUAGUUAGGAGGUCCCAGGCAGGAGGCCUUGCCUCUUCGAUCGUGUUGCUUUUGUGCUAGCCUUCUUAAGGCAAACUUGUUUAACUUAUGUCUGUACCCAGAUAUUGUUGCUUCCGCUGACUCUUGUGUAUCGAGUGUAUCGAGCUAUGUAUUCGAGCCCUCGAGGCCCCUGGCUUGUAAUAUAAAGCUUGUAUUAUUUUAUUUGUGUCUAGAGUUGUGUUGUGAUAUCUUCCCG